UGGGGAAUUUUGGACAAUGGGCGCAAGCCUGAUCCAGCCAUGCCGCGUGCGGGAAGAAGGCCUUCGGGUUGUAAACCGCUUUUGUCAGGGAAGAAACGCUCUGGGCUAAUACCCCGGGGUAAUGACGGUACCUGAAGAAUAAGCACCGGCUAACUACGUGCCAGCAGCCGCGGUAAUACGUAGGGUGCAAGCGUUAAUCGGAAUUACAGGGCGUAAAGCGUGCGCAGGCGGUUAUGCAAGACAGAUGUGAAAUCCCCGGGCUUAACCUGGGAACUGCAUUUGUGACUGCAUAGCUGGAGUGCGGCAGAGGGGGAUGGAAUUCCGCGUGUAGCAGUGAAAUGCGUAGA
This 347-nucleotide ribosomal RNA is filed under the name uncultured bacterium. RNAcentral's name for it is "bacterial SSU rRNA". It matches the Rfam family "Bacterial small subunit ribosomal RNA", at positions 355 to 694 of the family's 1533-position model. The record is from RNAcentral.